AUUGAACGCUGGCGGCAGGCCUAACACACGCAAGUCGAGCGGAUGAAGGGAGCUUGCUCCUGGUUUCAGCGGCGGACGGGUGAGUAAUGCCUAGGAAUCUGCCUGGUAGUGGGGGAUAACGUCCGGAAACGGGCGCUAAUACCGCAUACGUCCUGAGGGAGAAAGUGGGGGAUCUUCGGACCUCACGCUAUCAGAUGAGCCUAGGUCGGAUUAGCUAGUUGGUGGGGUAAAGGCCUACCAAGGCGACGAUCCGUAACUGGUCUGAGAGGAUGAUCAGUCACACUGGAACUGAGACACGGUCCAGACUCCUACGGGAGGCAGCAGUGGGGAAUAUUGGACAAUGGGCGAAAGCCUGAUCCAGCCAUGCCGCGUGUGUGAAGAAGGUCUUCGGAUUGUAAAGCACUUUAAGUUGGGAGGAAGGGCAGUAAGUUAAUACCUUGCUGUUUUGACGUUACCAACAGAAUAAGCACCGGCUAACUUCGUG
This 484-nucleotide ribosomal RNA is filed under the name uncultured bacterium. RNAcentral's name for it is "partial 16S ribosomal RNA". It matches the Rfam family "Bacterial small subunit ribosomal RNA", at positions 30 to 507 of the family's 1533-position model. The record is from RNAcentral.